This 73-nucleotide transfer RNA is filed under the name Bacteroidota bacterium. RNAcentral describes it as "Bacteroidetes bacterium (groundwater metagenome) tRNA-Gly". It matches the Rfam family "tRNA". From Rfam's summary of the family: Transfer RNA (tRNA) molecules are approximately 80 nucleotides in length. Their secondary structure includes four short double-helical elements and three loops (D, anti-codon, and T loops). Further hydrogen bonds mediate the characteristic L-shaped molecular structure. tRNAs have two regions of fundamental functional importance: the anti-codon, which is responsible for specific mRNA codon recognition, and the 3' end, to which the tRNAs corresponding amino acid is attached (by aminoacyl-tRNA synthetases). tRNAs cope with the degeneracy of the genetic code in two manners: having more than one tRNA (with a specific anti-codon) for a particular amino acid; and 'wobble' base-pairing, i.e. permitting non-standard base-pairing at the 3rd anti-codon position. Lineage: Bacteria; Pseudomonadati; Bacteroidota. The record is from RNAcentral.
GCGGGCGUAACUCAGUUGGUAGAGUGUCAGCUUCCCAAGCUGAAUGUCGUCCCGCAAAGCGGGAUCGCCCGCU